Molecule: non-coding RNA, 150 nt
Filed under: Eubacterium sp.
Lineage: Bacteria; Bacillati; Bacillota; Clostridia; Eubacteriales; Eubacteriaceae
Also listed under: 1 other name
Description: SAM-I sequence
Rfam family: SAM riboswitch aptamer (S box leader)
About the family: The SAM riboswitch is found upstream of a number of genes which code for proteins involved in methionine or cysteine biosynthesis in Gram-positive bacteria. The SAM riboswitch acts at the level of transcription termination control. The predicted structure consists of a complex stem-loop region followed by a single stem loop terminator region.
Source: RNAcentral
CCCUUAUUUAGAGUGGCGGAGACACAUAGGGUCUGUGAAGCCCGGCAACCCCGUAGGCAAUGGCAGUGAUUUGAUGACUGAGCUGUUGCAAGGAAGGUGCCAACCUGAGCGAAGAUAUCCGGAUUAUACCGGAAGUUCGAACAAUAAGAG